Molecule: ribosomal RNA, 361 nt
Filed under: uncultured bacterium
Lineage: Bacteria
Description: bacterial SSU rRNA
Rfam family: Bacterial small subunit ribosomal RNA
Source: RNAcentral
GAUGAACGCUGGCGGCGUGCCUAACACAUGCAAGUCGAGCGAUCUUCUUCGGAAGAGAGCGGCGGACGGGUGAGUAACGCGUGGGUAACCUGCCCCAUACACAUGGAUAACAUACCGAAAGGUAUGCUAAUACAGGAUGAUAUAAGAGAUUCGCAUGGAUUUCUAUCAAAGCUCCGGCGGUAUGAGAUGGACCCGCGUCUGAUUAGCUAGUUGGUAAGGUAAUGGCUUACCAAGGCGACAAUCAGUAGCCGACCUGAGAGGGUGAUCGGCCACAUUGGAACUGAGACACGGUCCAAACUCCUACGGGAGGCAGCAGUGGGGAAUAUUGCACAAUGGGCGAAAGCCUGAUGCAGCAACGCCG